AGUUUAUCCACAGACCAAAUCUCUACCACCACUUCGUGAGUAGAGAGACUUGCAAGAAAACUACAUGAAUGGCAGCUUUUAAAAAGAAGGGAACUACAACACAAGGCUAUAUCACUCAGCAGGAAGCCUGCAGUACUUAGAGAUUCCACCAAGAGAGCUCAAUCAAGGGAGAUCCUCAAAGGAAGUCUUCAGCUGUGACAAGAAAAUGUCUAUCGGCAAGACCCAAGUUUGUGGUUCUACCCAGGGUCCAAAGCACAGGGCCCUGAGCCCUCAGGAACUGGAAGUCUGUACAGUCUCUACAUAGGCAGUUUGCCCAUGCGUCUCUGGCAUCUGGUGGGUGUUGGGUGCACUGUUGUUGAAUGACAAUGAAUUAAAAAAAAAUAACUUCUAAUACAAA
Long non-coding RNA from Ictidomys tridecemlineatus (thirteen-lined ground squirrel), 397 nucleotides. RefSeq lists it as uncharacterized. The record is from RefSeq and is a predicted model, not a curated record. Lineage: Eukaryota; Metazoa; Chordata; Mammalia; Rodentia; Sciuridae.